CAGUCGUUGGCGGAGAAAGGAGGACAAAGAACGAACACAUGAAGGAGGGACAAAGAACGAACACAUGAAGGAAGCUUAGCAGCCAGAGACUCUGUAUUCCCAUGGAAAUGUGAAAUAGGGACAGUGAGGGAGCCAAAGACGGUGCAAGUCCUUCUGUAUGUUCCCUGCCUUGAGUCUUCUAGACCUCUACUGCUGGUGUCUUCUGUUCAGAAGUAUAUUCUCUUUAAGCUUGGCAGCCAGAGAAUCUUUAUUCCAUGGAAAUGUGAAAUAGUGAC
This is a long non-coding RNA of Mercenaria mercenaria, 275 nucleotides long. RefSeq lists it as uncharacterized. NCBI's taxonomy places the organism in Eukaryota, Metazoa, Mollusca, Bivalvia, Venerida, Veneridae. The record is from RefSeq and is a predicted model, not a curated record. The transcript is spliced from 3 exons.